RNAcentral lists this ribosomal RNA (845 nucleotides) under uncultured bacterium. RNAcentral describes it as "bacterial SSU rRNA". It matches the Rfam family "Bacterial small subunit ribosomal RNA", at positions 58 to 916 of the family's 1533-position model. The record is from RNAcentral.
CAAGUCGAGCGAGAAUCGUAGCAAUACGAGGACAGCGGCGAAAGGGAGAGGAAUACGUAGAUAUCUGCCCCUGAGACCGGGAUAGCGUCGGGAAACUGGCAGUAAUACCGGAUAACGUCUUUGGACCAAAGGUGUGAUUCCGCUCGGGGAUGAGUCUACGCCCUAUUAGCUAGUUGGUGGGGUAAUGGCCUACCAAGGCGAUGAUGGGUAGCGGGUGUGAGAGCAUGAUCCGCCUCACUGGGACUGAGAACUGCCCAGACACCUACGGGUGGCUGCAGUCGAGAAUCUUUGUCAAUGGACGAAAGUCUGAACAAGCGACGCCGCGUGCGGGAUGAAGGCCUUCGGGUUGUAAACCGCUGUCGUAGGGGAACAAAUGUAGAGGGGUUCUCCCCUUUAUUUGAGUGAUCCUAGGAGGAAGGAGAGGCUAAGCUCGUGCCAGCAGCCGCGGUAAGACGAGCUCUCCAAACGUUAUUCGGAAUCACUGGGCUUAAAGAGUUCGUAGGCGGCUCAGCAGGUCGGGUGUGAAAUCCCACAGCUCAACUGUGGAACUGCGCUUGAAACCGCUGGGCUUGAGGGAGACAGAGGUAAGCGGAACAGAUGGUGGAGCGGUGAAAUGCGUUGAUAUCAUCUGGAACACCGGUGGCGAAAGCGGCUUACUGGGUCUCUUCUGACGCUGAGGAACGAAAGCUAGGGUAGCAAACGGGAUUAGAUACCCCGGUAGUCCUAGCCGUAAACGAUGAGCACUAGUCUGUGGGGACCCUCACAUCCUCUCGGACGUAGCGAAAGUGUUAAGUGCUCCGCCUGGGGAGUAUGGUCGCAAGGCUGAAACUCAAAGGAAUUGACGG